Molecule: ribosomal RNA, 523 nt
Filed under: uncultured Glomus
Lineage: Eukaryota; Fungi; Glomeromycota; Glomeromycetes; Glomerales; Glomeraceae
Description: SSU rRNA
Rfam family: Eukaryotic small subunit ribosomal RNA
Source: RNAcentral
AGCAGCCGCGGUAAUUCCGGCUCCAAUAGCGUAUAUUAAAGUUGUUGCAGUUAAAAAGCUCGUAGUUGAAUUUCGGGAUCAAUACGUCGGUCGUGCUUAGGUACGUACUGGCGUAAUUGAUUUCUCCCUUCUGACGAACCAUGAUGUCAUUAACUUGGUGUCAUGGGAAAUCAGGACUGUUACUUUGAAAAAAUUAGAGUGUUUAAAGCAGGCUCACGCUUGAAUACAUUAGCAUGGAAUAAUGAAAUAGGACGUUCGAUCCUAUUUUGUUGGUUUUUAGGAUCAACGUAAUGAUUAAUAGGGAUAGUUGGGGGCAUUAGUAUUCAAUUGUCAGAGGUGAAAUUCUUGGAUUUAUUGAAGACUAACUACUGCGAAAGCAUUUGCCAAGGAUGUUUUCAUUAAUCAAGAACGAAAGUUAGGGGAUCGAAGACGAUCAGAUACCGUCGUAGUCUUAACCAUAAACUAUGCCGACUAGGGAUCGGAUGAUGUUAAUUUUUUAAUGACUCAUUUCGGCGCCUUACGG